AGGGCACGAUGAGCAUGACCAGCGCCAGCUCCAGUUGAGGGUUUGCGAUGUAGCCCAACAGAACCUCUUGGAGCUGGGAAGGACACCGCAUUCAAUGAAAAACAAUUCCCGACUUUUGUUUCAGAUCAAUCAGGACGCGCGCAUACUUUGGACCAUCCUGGCACGAGCAGCACCAGGCUGAUGGCGCCUUUCUCCAGAACCAUGAUGAGCAGCGCGUCUCCGAACUCACCGUACUCGCCAAACGUGAGCUGCGUCCACUGCUUGUACUCCACCACGCGCGACACCAGCGUGACGCCCAGCCAGAUGACCAGCAUGCCCACCGUAGCGUCCAGCAGGAAGUUCAUCAGGUAGCUGGGAAACGACAACAAAAGAUAAGAAAUGACCUUUUUGAUUUCAUGGAUACCAAAAAUGAUGGCGUGCAACUGACAGCGAGCAAGGGUCCUCUUUGGUGAGCGUGGACAGGAAGACGUUGGCGAAGUGGAUGAACAGAGCGCCAAUGGCCUGCUU
This is a long non-coding RNA of Phyllopteryx taeniolatus (common seadragon), 507 nucleotides long. RefSeq lists it as uncharacterized. Lineage: Eukaryota; Metazoa; Chordata; Actinopteri; Syngnathiformes; Syngnathidae. The transcript is spliced from 2 exons. The record is from RefSeq and is a predicted model, not a curated record.